CGGGCUGUGGCUCAGUGGGAGAGCACUUGCCUGGCAUGUGUGAGGCACUGGGUUCAAUUCUCAGCACCACAU
Molecule: transfer RNA, 72 nt
Filed under: Ictidomys tridecemlineatus (thirteen-lined ground squirrel)
Lineage: Eukaryota; Metazoa; Chordata; Mammalia; Rodentia; Sciuridae
Description: Spermophilus tridecemlineatus (thirteen-lined ground squirrel) tRNA
Rfam family: tRNA
About the family: Transfer RNA (tRNA) molecules are approximately 80 nucleotides in length. Their secondary structure includes four short double-helical elements and three loops (D, anti-codon, and T loops).
Source: Rfam by way of RNAcentral